UUGUAAUUUUGACAUGCUUUUAUAAUUUUCCAGAAUUUGUCAGAAAUACCACUGUUGCCUGGGUUAGAGGAUGAUGCAAGCUUAAGCCAAGAAAUCAACACCAAGGUUUUAAGCUACAAAGCAUUUCGGUGUUUUUAUAUUGCUCAGUCUUAUGCUGCAUUGAAGAAGUGGAAGGAAGCUAUGGCAUUGUAUGAACGCACGCUCACUCACACGGCACAGGCACUGGACGGCUACAAGACUAUGAAUACCACCGAUAACCAGCACAGCAGCAGC
Molecule: long non-coding RNA, 273 nt
Organism: Priapulus caudatus
Lineage: Eukaryota; Metazoa; Priapulida; Priapulimorpha; Priapulimorphida; Priapulidae
Exons: 3
Source: RefSeq, a predicted model, not a curated record